UGGGGUUGAAAAGAGCCAAGCACAGCUGAGCGACUGGGCGCUCACACAUGAGUGAAGACAGAGCUCAGCAUCCUUCCUGUAUUUGGGCAGUAUCCUCUAGGUGCUGUGUGUCCCGCCCACAAUGGGCCUCAGUUUGACAGGUUCUUGACUUGGGUAUUUUUUUUUUUUCCUCCAACUUUCUGCUUUAUUUCUCCUCUCCCCUUGGAGCCUCAGUGUCUUAAGUUUUGAUAUGGGGAUAAUAUCAGCCCUGCCUCACAUAGCGAUCCUGAGAAUUAACCAUCACCCAUCCAGUUAUCUUGCCCAUGGCUUUGCUGGCCGGGAGCUCUGAUGAUUGCAAACACCGGCGGCCAGCUCCUCAGAGAGGCAAAACCCAGCCCCUUGUGGGUCGAAUCAGUGGCUGAGCCUGUUGCACGGGUGGAAGGUGUUUAAUCCCGAGAGCUGCCUUGAUUCUCAGCCCAACUCAGGUGGGCAUCAUCCCAUCCACUGAGGGCCUGCCUGGAACAAGAAGGAAGAGGAAGGGGGAAUUCGUUCUCCCUGCUGGAGCUGAGACAUCCAUCUCCUCCUGCCCUCAGACAAUCCACUUUCCUGGUUCUAUGGGGACCUUCACCAUCAUCACUCCCUCCUUGGCUGCCUCCCUGGUUCUCAGCACUUCAGGCUCAAUCUGACCUAAACCAUCAGCUCCGCUGGUUUUCCAGUUUAUAGACUGCACAUCAUGGGACUCCCUGGUCCCCAAAACCACACGAGCCAAUUCCUACAAUAAAUCUUCUCUUAUGUAUAUAUCUUUACAGAUCUUACUGUUUCUGUCUCUCUGGACAACCACGAUUGAUGACCUGGGUCUUUACUUACAUGGCGGCUGUCAGCUGAGCUGGGUAGUCACAGCCACUUUUGAAUACUCAUUCACUCACACCCUGACUCUUUGACCUUCUUUCCUUAGUCCGCUAAGCUUUCCUUACAGCUUCAAUCUCACUACUGAUGCAAUGAUCUUCCACAUCAGGUAGCUUCUGAAAGUAAAAAGCAGCACUAAAAAUAAGGACCAGGUGUUCAUUGACCCUCAAUAGGCAUUAUGGGAGGCUUUCUGGCAAACCUGGGUGUAUGGUUGCCAGAGUGUUGAUCCCAGCUUGGGCAUCACACACCCCAGUCUCCAGGCAACACAC
Long non-coding RNA from Bos taurus (domestic cattle), 1154 nucleotides. The record is from Ensembl. NCBI's taxonomy places the organism in Eukaryota, Metazoa, Chordata, Mammalia, Artiodactyla, Bovidae.